This is a long non-coding RNA of Neltuma alba, 3122 nucleotides long. RefSeq lists it as uncharacterized. The record is from RefSeq and is a predicted model, not a curated record. The transcript has 2 exons. Lineage: Eukaryota; Viridiplantae; Streptophyta; Magnoliopsida; Fabales; Fabaceae.
UACUUAUUUAAUGUUGGAGAAUUAUUGCGCUUUAAUUGUCCAGUUACGUAUUCCAGAGUCAAUGGUAGGUCAAAACUCAACUUGGUUAUGACUUCGCAAGUCAAGGUCGAGACUGGAGCCGAGAUGGGUUUGGUAUUUCCUUUUGAAUGAAGUGGUCGUCAUCCAUUUUUCUUCAGUCAGCAAUAGACAAGAUUGUUUGAUUUCGUCGAGAAGAAUAGUUUUACUGUACUGAGUUUCGCUGGCAGCAUAUUGGCUGGCGUGAACAUGAUUAUCAAUCUCUAGGGGCUCAAACAGUUAAGGGAGAUCCCAAGUUUUUGUUCAAUUCCUGAUUCCAAUCCCGCGCAAGCCCCUCCCUCGAUUUCCCAAUCCACCGUCUCGUCAUCACUCAUCGCCUUCCCCUUAAUCUCUCAGAAUCUUCGUGUUUCCGGUCAUGGAUUGAAUCCUUUUGCACCAUAUUGUGUUGUUCUAGCUGAUUCGUUGCCCGUAGAUUUUAUUGAUGAUCUCUCUGUGAUUUCUUUCUCAAAGCAUGUGAUUAGGGGAGUAUGCCAUCGUCCUUGGUAGAUCUUAGUUUUCAGAAACUCAAUAUUCUUUGGGUUUGGACGGUUCUGUCAUCCUUAUCAAUUUACAAGCUUUAACAUUGCUCGUUUAGAUUACUGAAUGAUAUGCCUCACUCCCCAGGAGGAACAGGUUUCGUUUUGAAGGAGCACAAGAAGUCGCUCGUUAAGACCUCGGGCAGCUACAGAUACGGGGGUUGAACAUCACGUGGGGGCUCGGAAAGGGAUCUCAAAGUGGUGAGUUCAAUUCCCAGGUCCUUAAUGAUGAAAAACAUUUUUACAUUUCGUUUGCAUUCUUUUUAAUUGUAGAGAUGAACUCAUUAUACUAACCAAGCUCCCAAUAAACAUUAGUAAAUAAAAAAACAGGGCAAACUUAUGACUUAUUUGAAGGUAAAAUUAUGCUAGGCACCAAGGGAAAGAGAGAAAACAAAUUAAAAACAAAAAGGGAUUUCGGGCCUUGUUGACUGCUUUCUUCAUUUUCUGAAACUUAGAAUCUUGUCUAGGUAUCCAAUAUCCAUCAUCUCGUUUCUUGAAUAUUCAUGUUAGUCUCAAAUAUAUGGGAGCUUGAGAGAUGACCUGGAGUUGGAGAUCUUAAGUAGAGGCCUGUGAGGGCUAACAACUGGUUAGGCUCCAAUAUGAGCCAAGCGCCCAAACAAAAAAAAAAAAAAUCAUUGUUGGUGUUUACAUUUCUGAUUGUCAUGCUCCAAGAAGCUGCUUACCUGAACUCCUGAUGUUGCUGGGUUGAGUGGUGGGAGAUAAAUGGACUGACCUGUAUAACACUAUCCAAUUUUUACUUGUGUUCAAGCCCCACUGAGGAUCCCAUUUUGGGGAGUUUUGCUUUCUGUCAUUGAAGGAGUAGCAGACUCUGAAGAGCUGGACACUAAAAAUUGCAAAACAACAAUAUAAACUAACUGGAAAAUGGAAAUUUUGCUUUCUUAUAGCACCUUUAUGUGGGAAACAUCGUUCAGAAUUAACUAAUAGGAUUAUUUCUCACUGUUUGAAGUUUGAAAUGCGAUCUGUUUUGGUUCCCCUUUUCUCUUCUCAAGCGUUAUCUGCCGAUGGAAAAGAACUAUUACUUGUGUUGAUAAAAUCUAGUAGAACAGGGAUGGGAAUUGAUCUGGAGCAACACUUUCCUGAAUAUGUUAAUUUGAAGUUGUACAGGAAGUGCUGAGUCUUCUUACAGCACCUCUAUGAGGUAGGCAUUCUUCAGAAUUAACCAAUAGGAACAUCAAAUCUUUUGCCCACUGUAUGAAAUGAAAAUCUACUUCUGUUCCGCUUCCCUUCUGUGAAGCAUUAUCUUUAAGAAUGCAAGUAGAUUUAUGUAGGUUGUCAAAUUAUAUUACCAGCAGAUUGGAAAUUGAUCGGGAGCAACACUGUUUUGAUAGAUGUGAAUUGGCUGCAUUUUGGGCUGGGUUUAGUAACAUUCCUGUGGAACAGAUAGAAACUGAGGUGCUAAUUUUGCUUGGUUCCUGUGGUAUUUAUAUGCAAAUUUUUCACAUUUUGGAUUGUCAGCUGGUGUCAGCUCAUAUUGCUUUGUAUUGGUCAGGAUCUAAAUGUAGUGCUGAUAACGUUUGAUAUGUAUGCUUGGCUGAUAAGAUAUGACAAUGAUUAUGUGCAAGCACGAGAGCCACUUGAUUCCCUCAAGUGGAAUUGAGACUGUCGUUUAUUUAUGUUUGAAUGCUGGCUCUGAUCUGUUAUAUUCCCUGUUCUCAUGCAUUCAGUAACUUGAAAGUUCAAAAUGAGGUUUUCAAAAUGUUGGUUCCAUUUAGAUAUUGCCAUCUGGAUCAAAUUGGCUUUUGUCUCGGGCAAUUGCUAACACUCUUGCUGAACAGGUAAGAAAACUUCUCAAUGAAGGAAUGGGUGAAAAUGUCGCUGCAUUGGGCCCAAAAUCAAUAAAUGUUCUAUAGGGAUUUUUGUCCAUUCUUAAUCUUGUUUCAUUCCAUCUAUCAGGUGUGAACUAAUUCAAGAGUGAAAUAAACAAGCCACUUACAUGUAAUGUGUAAGUUUAUGGAUUGAUUUGUCAUCUGGGAAGGCAGUAUUUCAAUAUGUCAAAAGCACAUGGAGAGCUGUGGUGGGAACAGGGCUUGCCACCAUCUUGACCAUAUAAGAUUAUUGAUUAAUUUGUCCCCUGUGUCCGGACUAUUUAUUGCUCCCCUGGCCAUAUAUGGUUCCAUGAUACGAAGGAAUCAAAAGUUUGUGGUAGAGGCUUGUUUGGUUCUGAUCGAUUUUUUUUUUCUCGGGGACAAAAAAAUUAACUACAGUUUUGAAAAACUAUGCAGGUACAAAAAUCUUGUGUUCACCCUAAGACGACGAGUUUGAUGUUUGAAGGCGACAUUACUUUGCAAUAUCAACUCAAGAAUUUGAAAGUGUACUCUCUUGGAUCGUUAACCCAACAUAGUAAUGCCAAAUUGUUAUAUCCAUGCCUGUCUUGUGACGUUUCUACUUUUGACGAAACCCAAAGCGCAAUUUAGACAAGACUUUUAACACACAGGCGUGUAUAUUCUGUUGUACUUGUCCAUGGGGAAAGUUUAUCCCGAAAAAGGGAAAAGUGGAUUCUUAAGCUUUUCU